GAUGAACGCUGGCGGCGUGCCUAAUACAUGCAAGUCGAGCGAACAGACGAGGAGCUUGCUCCUCUGACGUUAGCGGCGGACGGGUGAGUAACACGUGGAUAACCUACCUAUAAGACUGGGAUAACUUCGGGAAACCGGAGCUAAUACCGGAUAAUAUAUUGAACCGCAUGGUUCAAUAGUGAAAGACGGUUUUGCUGUCACUUAUAGAUGGAUCCGCGCCGCAUUAGCUAGUUGGUAAGGUAACGGCUUACCAAGGCAACGAUGCGUAGCCGACCUGAUAGGGUGAUCGGCCACACUGGAACUUAGACACGGUCCAGACUCCUACGGUAGGCAGCAGUAGGGAAUCUUCCGCAAUGGGCGAAAGCCUGACGGAGCAACGCCGCGUGAGUGAUGAAGGUCUUCGGAUCGUAAAACUCUGUUAUUAGUGAAGAACAAAUGUGUAAGUAACUAUGCACGUCUUGACGGUACCUGAUCAGAAAGCCACGGCUAACUACGUG
Molecule: ribosomal RNA, 497 nt
Filed under: uncultured bacterium
Lineage: Bacteria
Description: partial 16S ribosomal RNA
Rfam family: Bacterial small subunit ribosomal RNA
Source: RNAcentral